RNAcentral lists this long non-coding RNA (1221 nucleotides) under Callithrix jacchus (white-tufted-ear marmoset). RNAcentral describes it as "lncRNA (ENSCJAG00000072446.1)". Lineage: Eukaryota; Metazoa; Chordata; Mammalia; Primates; Cebidae. The record is from RNAcentral.
AUGGCAGUCUGGUGGAGAAGUAGUCAUGGUGGGGCAGCCAUCAUGUCCUUGGCAUCAAAGACCCUCUGGUGUCAGGCUGAAGGUGCCCCAGAGGCUGGAGCAACAAGGUCCGAAUGCGAUGGUAGGAAGGUUCUGAGAGGGGCCAUACUGCGAUGUUGCAACAAGAAAUGCCAGCCCAGAACCAGACUCACGCCACCAUCUCCUCUCUAGCAGCGCGUCACAGACCGAUGUGAGCAGCUUCUCCCUGGGGCCAGAUUCAAGAAAACGCUUGGAAUUUCAUUAGAGCUGAGGAACCCACAGAACAUUCUUGUAGCAGAGCUUCACGUAAUAAAAGAGGGAAGGGUGAAGUGCAGUCUUCUGACUGUGCAAUGGGUGUAAGGAAGACAGCAAAAAACGUCAGAAGGCGAGGGCAGCCGUCAACAAGGCAAAGCAACAGGCCCUGUCUCCUGACUCCGAAGGAGGAAAAUCGUGACAGAGAUGCAGAAAAGCUGGUGUCUGAUUAAAAAUUCCACAGAGUUGCCGCAUUUGUAAAAUAGGAACGCAGUCUUCUCUUUUACACAUAUUUUGGGAAUUUGAUUGCCCAGACAAAAUUAGAGAACCGAAGUCAUCAAUACAAGCUUGAAGGAGCGGAGAUGCAGCGAAGGCAGACAGAACACACAGGCAGAAAUGGCAGCCUUGGUUUAAAGGAAACAAAAUGAGCUAAGAAAAUGCCUGUUAGUUGCCCAAAGAUGCUUCCUGAAUGAUGUGCUUCCUGUGCCAGGGAAGGACGGGAAGUGAGGUCCCCAUUCGUUCACUGAAUAAACUCUUAUGAAGAGUCAGAAGGCUUGGAGGUUUGGGAGGAGCAGAAAACAUCAAACCCUGGGCUAAGGCCACUUGAGCUGACACUACAGGGAAAAUCAGGAAUUGGAUGGGGAAGCAGAGAGGAGCCAACAUGCUGGCAUGUUGGUGGUGUGGUUAGGGACAGCACAAAAAGUGGCUGGGAAGGGCAGAGGGGUAAGGCUUGACUCCCAGGCCAGGAGUGUGGACUGUAUCCAUUAGACGCUAGGGAUGAUGGGAAAAUCAUCACGGAGCAGAAAAAAUUACAUUUACAGAGUGUUUUUCUUUUUUAAGAGUUUUUUUUUUUUUUUUUUUUUUUUAAUGAGUUUUAAGAUGCCUCUGUCUGUCUGACCAAAAGAGUUUCCCCACUAGGGUUCUUUCCCAGGCUCUCUUUCUUAGAGAGCU